RNAcentral lists this ribosomal RNA (1243 nucleotides) under metagenome. Its description in RNAcentral is "bacterial LSU rRNA". It matches the Rfam family "Bacterial large subunit ribosomal RNA", at positions 1564 to 2815 of the family's 2925-position model. The record is from RNAcentral.
UGAAUACCAGACGCUACGGCGUUGAAGCAGUGUAUGUCAGACUUCCAAGAAAAGCUCGCAAUGUCCGAAAUAAAAUAAUGCCUGUACCAUAACCGACACAGGUGGGUAGGUAGAGUAUACUAAGGGGCGCGAGAUAACUCUCUCUAAGGAACUCGGCAAAAUAACUCCGUAACUUCGGGAGAAGGAGUGCCUUAUUUUAAGGUUGCAAUAACAAGAUCCAAGCAACUGUUUACCAAAAACACAGGUCUCCGCUAAGUCGUAAGACGAUGUAUGGGGGCUGACGCCUGCCCAGUGCCAGAAGGUUAAAGAAGUUGGUUAGCUAUUGCGAAGCUGAUGACUGAAGCCCUGGUGAACGGCGGCCGUAACGAUAACGGUCCUAAGGUAGCGAAAUUCCUUGUCGGGUAAGUUCCGACCCGCACGAAAGGCGUAAUGAUUUGGAUACUGUCUCGGAGAGGGGCUCGGUGAAAUAGACUUGUCUGUGAAGAUGCGGACUACCUGCACCUGGACAGAAAGACCCUAUGAAGCUUUACUGUAACUUGAAAUUGAAAUUGGACUUUAUUUGCGCAGUAUAGGUGGGAGGCGUUUGAAGAUAUUCUUGCGGGAAUGUUGGAGCCAUUAGUGAGAUACCACUCUUGUAAUGUUAGAUUUCUAACUUUGUACCAUAAUCUGGUCAAAGAACAGUUUCAGGCGGGCAGUUUGACUGGGGCGGUCGCCUCCCAAAUGGUAACGGAGGCGUACAAAGGUUUCCUCUGAACGUGUAGAAAUCGUAUCUAGAGUGUAAAGGCAUAAGGAAGCUUGACUGUGAGACCUACAAGUCAAGCAGGGACGAAAGUCGGUCUUAGUGAUCUGACGGUACUGAGUGGAAAGGCCGUCACUCAACGGAUAAAAGUUACUCUAAGGAUAACAGGCUGAUCUCCCCCAAGAGUUCACAUCGACGGGGAGGUUUGGCACCUCGAUGUCGGCUCAUCGCAUCCUGGGGCGGUAGUACGUCCCAAGGGUUGGGCUGUUCGCCCAUGAAAGCGGUACGCGAGCUGGGUUCAGAACGUCGUGAGACAGUUCGGUCCAUAUCCGGUGUAGGCGUUAGAAUAUUGAGAGGAGCCUUCUUUAGUACGAGAGGACCGAGAAGGACAUACCUCUGGUGUACCAGUUAUCGUGCCAACGGUAAACGCUGGGUAGCUAUGUAUGGAGAGGAUAACCGCUGAAAGCAUCUAAGUGGGAAGCCCACCUCGAGAUGAGUAUUCUC